AAUAGCCCAACGGCUGAACCAGCAACUUGGAGGAAUGAAUAGCAAUAGCUAAUUGCACAUACAUAUGAUGCAAUAUCGACUCAGUCGAAUAAAAUUCUGGCUAGAAUUAUGAUAAUGACAUUGUCUAGCCAUGUGUCUUGACUAAAUUACGUGCCAGCAGUCGCGGUAAUACGUAGAAGACUAGUGUUAUUCAUCUUUAAUAGGUUUAAAGGGUACCCAGACGGUAAAUCAAGCCCUAGACGGGACUAAUUUGCUAGAGUUACUUAUGCGGAGGUUUUUAAGUACUAAUGGUGUAGAGAUAAAAUUUUGUAAUACCAUUUUUCGAAAGAAAAGUCAUGGCACUGGUAAAGGCGAAAGCAUCCUCUUAUGUGAUAACUGACGUUGAAGGACGAAGGCUUUGGAUCGCAAAUAGGAUUAGUUACCCUAGUAGUCAAAGCAGAGAAUUAUGAGUGUCAUAGAUUAGAUAUUAAUUUUAUUCUAUAAAUGAAAGUGUAAGCACUCCACCUCAAGAGUAAUUUGGCAACAUUGGAACUGAAAUCAUUAGACCGUUUCUGAANNNNNNNNNNNNNNNNNNNNNNUAAUUUGAUGUCCCGCAAAAAACCUUACCACAGCUUGAAUAUUUAUAUUUUUGAUGUAUUUACAGGAGUUGCACGGCUGUCUUCAGUUAAUGUCGUGAGAUUUUGGUUAGAUCCAUUAAAUUAACGCAAGCCCUUACUUUAUUUAAAUGUUUUUUUUAUUUAAAAAGCAAUAAAUAAAGUAGUUCCCCACUAUAUUGGAUAUGAUAACAGGGACUAAGACAAGUCAUCAUGACAUGAAUGAUGU
This 822-nucleotide ribosomal RNA is filed under the name Phyllopsora loekoesii. RNAcentral describes it as "partial small subunit ribosomal RNA". It matches the Rfam family "Bacterial small subunit ribosomal RNA", at positions 370 to 1210 of the family's 1533-position model. Lineage: Eukaryota; Fungi; Ascomycota; Lecanoromycetes; Lecanorales; Ramalinaceae. The record is from RNAcentral.